Salvelinus namaycush (lake trout) is the source of this 334-nucleotide long non-coding RNA. RefSeq lists it as uncharacterized. The transcript has 4 exons. The record is from RefSeq and is a predicted model, not a curated record. Lineage: Eukaryota; Metazoa; Chordata; Actinopteri; Salmoniformes; Salmonidae.
UUGUUCCAGUCUGCCGUGAAGCGUUCAUCCCUGUAUAUGGGCUGAUUUCCUGGGCUAUAGAAAGUAAUGAUAUGUGUCAUCCUGCUGCAGUGAGGAGGCUCAUCUGUUUUUCCCCCGGUGAUGGAUCCUGUGGGUUACAAUUAAUAGCUUAUGCCUACCGUAGAUUCAAAUGAUCAGUUUCAGGUGCCAACCUCAUGCUGUCGGGUGAGAAACAUGCUCAGACUAUUUUAGUAAAUAUCUUCUUGAAGCGGCUGUGAAAUGGAAGAAUAUUUUCAGCAGCUGCUGGAAACCGAAACAAUGACGCCUGGGGAAGGAACCAAAGGGAGUGACAUAU